GGUAAGAUAGGUUAAACCUAAGAUCAGCGGGUUCAUGCCCCGAAGGUGCCUUAUGUGCUCUUACUA
RNAcentral lists this transfer RNA (66 nucleotides) under Crassostrea tulipa. Its description in RNAcentral is "tRNA-Met". The record is from RNAcentral. Lineage: Eukaryota; Metazoa; Mollusca; Bivalvia; Ostreida; Ostreidae.